RNAcentral lists this ribosomal RNA (440 nucleotides) under uncultured bacterium. Its description in RNAcentral is "partial 16S ribosomal RNA". It matches the Rfam family "Bacterial small subunit ribosomal RNA", at positions 338 to 795 of the family's 1533-position model. The record is from RNAcentral.
CCUACGGGUGGCAGCAGUGGGGAAUAUUGCACAAUGGGGGAAACGCUGAUGCAGCGACGCCGCGUGAGUGAAGGAGUCUUUCGGGAGGUAAAGCUCUAUCAGCAGGGAGGAUAAUGACGGUACCUGACUAAGAAGCGCCGGCUAAAUACAUACCAGCAGCCGCGGUAAGACGUAGGGGGCACGCGUUAGCCGGAUUUGCUGGGUGUAACGGGUGCGUAGUUGGAAGGGAAAUGCAGAUGUAAAAGCCCCGGGCCAACCGCGGGUAGUGCCAUUGAAACUGUCCAGCUGGAGUGCGGGAGAGGGAAGAGGAAUGUCUGGUGUAGCGGUGAAAUGCGUAGAUAUUAGGAAGAACACCAGUUGCGAAGGCGGCUUACGGGACCGUAACUGACACUGAGGCACGAAAGCGUGGGGAGCAAACAGGAUUAGAUACCCUUGUAGUC